UGAUGCCUCUCCUGGCAGUACUACGAAACGCCUUUCAGAUUUCUCAAUAGGGCGGUUACGACAUGGUUACCGUUAUUUACAAUGUACGGAUAGUUUGAUUAAUCGCUUGAAUCUGCCCAAGGAAAGAUGGAGCAAUCUAAUCUGAUCGACUCGUGAAAUUGAAGAGGAUGUUGUAAAAUAAAUAUUAUCAUUGUCCUCAUGAUCACACACUUGGAAGUGAACAUAACGGCCGAUUUAGUUUCUAUCGGAGUGUUCGACUAAUAUUAAUCGAAAAUGACGAUGAACGUGGUACAUUGGACUGGAUAUGAAAUGUAAUCGGACGAUGUAUUGCGAUCAUCGAAAUAUUAAGAAUUUCACUGUAUCAUCAUGAAUGGGACCACAGAUUCAUUUUACGCUCCCAAAGUUUAGUGUAGUAGCAAUCGUAAAAAAGAUUUGCUCUUAUCAAUCAGACAAAAGGUAAAUGCUGGAACAUUUUAAGAGUUUAGCUGAUCACCUGGGCCCUCGAUGUAACUUGUUAUCCAAUUAGGAAAGAUAGGAAAAAAAUCGAUUAUAACUUUUAGUUAAUGGAUACCCAUUAGUCGCAUUACGCUACCACUAUUCAAUUGCAGUAGUUCCGGAUACAGACCAUCUAAGAGAUGAGCAGUGCAGUAGCGUUAUCAGCGUAAUGUUGAUUUGCAUCCCAACCUGUGAACGUUGGUAUUAUGCGAACUAUUGUCGAUUUCGGUUAAAGCACCUCGCCAGAGCGCAAUCACCAUGUUUGAGGUGUCCAAUGCGUAAGUCAGAUCCGGUACUGGUCUAUUAGAUCGUUCGGCCAAUAGAACUGUCCAGCCAGUAUCGUUUCACUGUAAGAAUGUACCGCCAUAACGACUGUUGUCAUCCAAGCUAUUCUUGUGGUCCAAAACAACUUUGUCGCUUCUAUUGCACAGGGAUGACGCGUACUCCUACAACAGCAGCCAAUAUGGUGAAAAUUUGAAUGUUGUUUCUCUUUAGGUAUAACUCAGUACCAGUUUAUAUAAAUACAAUAAAUAGCAAUUUUCAUUUUUUCAUUCUACUGAAAUCUAGGCUAACAUUUGAAAAGGGUCUAUCUCCAAAACGUAAACAUUUAGAGUUUUCGAUUGAAGGAACUUGUGUAGUUUUCUGCACUGAAAUUGCACUUUUCUUGCAGAAGUGUUGUCAAAACACCGACACCAUGUUCCAUUGAUAGGAACUGCAAUAAAAAAGUGCAAUUCCAGUGCAAUUUCAGGGCAGAGAUUUGGCACCGAAAAAAUUGUCGGUGGAGCCCGAGAUGCAUUAUAGUAUAGGUGUUCACAUUCGUCAAGUUUGAGUGUGUUGGUUUGUUGCUAGUGAAAUUAAUCAUGGCGGCCCAGGACCGCGAAGCACAUAAUCAACAAACCGACCAAUCGAAACGAAGCUUGUAAGCACGUGGUAAAAAUAAGUAUGGCGUCCGGGAUCGCAAAAGAGCAAAUGUUUACAUAUCUAACCAAUCAGAAUGAAGUAUGAGACCACGUGCUUCUGUUUUCUUCUUCAUUCUUCUUGUUUGCCCGAAAAAAGUGACAGAUGAUGCACACAUAGAAAAAAAAUGUGUACACCUGUAUACACCUCGGGUGGAGCCAGUGCACUCACCAACACAGACCAACACCAAUCACGCAAACGUCAAAGCAACGUUCAAAAUGGAUGCGUAAACAAAUCGGCUAUCGCAGAAAAGGACAGGAAUAGUAUCCUUCUGCCGGAAUUGCAUUUGAUACUCAUUGGUUUGCGAGUUUUCGACUUCAAUUCUGUCUUGACUAGAGGUAUGCGUUUUAUUGAUUAGUAGUUCAGUGUGAACCAAAAAAAGAAACCAUCGAACAACAGACGAAACCAUUGCCCGUUACCACUAUCAACGGAAAGGAUUACCAGGUUUGGAAAUAGCUCGGUUCGGGUGGCUUCAGUUCAGUGUUUUCGGCCAAACAAAUGGGGACGGGCGUUGAAGUUGACGAAUCUCGAAGGCGCUUCCAGGAUAGUAGAAGGUUACUUAAACGAAAUGAAACUGUUGGCGAAAUUGCAAAGGAAUGAAAAUGUAGUAGCGCUGUUACACGUAUGAUUUGCCAUGUUCCGGAGUCUAUACAAAUUUACCUGGUAAUGGAAAAGGGUGAUGAUAAUCUGCACAAACUCCUGCAAAGCUACCGCAAGGAUAUCCCGCUGUACACGCUCAUGCAAAUUUGGUACCAGAUGGUACAGUGUGUGAAUUACAUUCACGAGCACGAUGUCAUCCAUCUGGAUCUCAAACUGGCUAACUUUCUGAUGGUAGAAGGUCGUCUGAAACUGAUUGAUUUUGGCAUCACCAGCAACGUCUCCACCAGUAUUACGAAGUUUUCCAAGUGGGCACAUUCAACUACAUCAGUCCGGAUGCUCUGAUUGCUUGACUACGCGUUUGACCGAUUGGGAAAUAAAG
Long non-coding RNA from Topomyia yanbarensis, 2431 nucleotides. RefSeq lists it as uncharacterized. NCBI's taxonomy places the organism in Eukaryota, Metazoa, Arthropoda, Insecta, Diptera, Culicidae. The record is from RefSeq and is a predicted model, not a curated record. The transcript has 6 exons.